Molecule: long non-coding RNA, 442 nt
Filed under: Homo sapiens (human)
Lineage: Eukaryota; Metazoa; Chordata; Mammalia; Primates; Hominidae
Description: non-protein coding lnc-ARRDC2-2:1
Source: RNAcentral
GUGUCUCUAGUGAUCCUUGAAAAGUUCCAGCAUAUUUUGGGAGUACUCAACACCAACAUCGAUGGGUGGUGGAAAAUAGCCUUUGCUAUCACUGCCAUUAAAGGUGUGGAUGGAAGAUACGCUUAUGUGGUGUUGAGGAAAACAGACAUUGACCUCACCAAGAGGGCGGGAGACUCACGGAGGAUGAGAUGGAAUGAGUGAUCACCAUUGUGCAGAAUCCACAGCAGUACAAGAUCCCAGACUGGCUCUUGAACAGACAGAAGGAUGUAAAGGAUGGAAAAUAUAGCCAGGUCCUAGCCAGUGGUCUGGACAACAAGCUCCGUGAAGACCUGGAGCAACCGAAGAAGAUUCCGGCCCAUAGAGGGAUGCACCACUUCUGGGGCCUUCAUGUCUGAGGCCAGCACACCGAGACCAUUGGCCGCCAUGGCCGUACCUGUACCGU